Molecule: unclassified non-coding RNA, 1081 nt
Filed under: Homarus americanus (American lobster)
Lineage: Eukaryota; Metazoa; Arthropoda; Malacostraca; Decapoda; Nephropidae
Description: glycine-rich cell wall structural protein 1-like, transcript variant X1
Source: RNAcentral
GUCAGUUGUCUCAUCUUCUACAACAUGGUAAGAAGUGCAACGCUGUAGUCCUGCUCUUCGUGGGUGCUUUUGCCGCCACUGCCGGCGCAGAGAUUAAACGCCCAGGCCAGGACGGACAUGGCAUUCGUCUUGAUGGCCCCAGUGGAGGUUUUAAUGGUGCAGGAAUUCGCCAAAAACCAGGUGGAAAUGGCCAUGGCAUUCGUCUUGAUGGCCCCAGUGGAGGUUUUAAUGGUGCAGGAAUUCGUCAAAUACCAGGUGGAAAUGACCAUGGCACUCGUUACGGCACAGGUGGAGGUUUUAAUGGUGCAGGAAUUCGUCAAAGACCAGGUGGAAAUGGCCAUGGCAUUCGUCUUGACGGCCCCGGUGUAGGUUUUAAUGGUGCAGGAAUUCGUCAAAGACCAGGUGGAAAUGGCCAUGGCACUCGUUACGGCACAGGUGGAGGUUUUAAUGGUGCAGGAAUUCGUCAAAGACCAGGUGGAAAUGGCCAUGGCACUCGUUACGGCACAGGUGGAGGCUUUAAUGGUGCAGGAAUUCGUCAGAAAGUUUAAAACACGUUAACUGGAGAACCUGUCUGCUGGAGUCGAUCUGUUGGCAAUAUGCUGUGUGAAGCCUCUGCCGAUGACAACACUUCCUAACUCCAGACCCAAUGCAACCUUCUCUUAUUAUUAUGACCAAGUUUGUUAUACUGAUGAAAAUAUGUUCUUCCAUAAUUAUAGAGAAAUAUUUACUUAAGACUCCGACCAGUUGUGUUGUUGUCGUUUAGAUAUGCUGGCCGUGAACACCUGACAUGGCUUGGUGGUAGAAUACUAGUGUAAGUCGUUACAACUCUGAUGAGUGUUUUUACUAAAGCUGGUUAGCAAUUUGAAAAUAAAGAUUUACAGUGAGAACAAAAUACACAUAACAGCAAACUAAAUGUUAUAAUAUUGACGUAAUGUACAGUAUAAUCAAUGCGAAUGUUUUCAGAUCCAGCAUUUGAUCACAUAACUGUAUACUAUGUAUGACCACCACUCUUAUGUAGAAAUUAUAUCACAUGAAAAUAAAAUUUAUUAGAUGUUGAAAUAACAUUAAACUUGAAAACAUU